UAGAUGGCCUCGGUACCUCAAUGUCUCUUGACUAGGUCCUCAUUCCUUAUCUCGACUAACAACCUCUCCAUUAUAUCACCCCUUCCUUUGCUCGAUGAUGCCAUACGCCUGUUCAUCUUCUUCACCAUCUAUAUAACCUCCCCUUCUCUCAUUCAUCUUUGACUAUCUAACGCCUUCGACCAACUGCUUCCCUCACCACCUCCACCGUAUUCUUUCUCUCAAUCUCAAAGCAUACUCCUUUUUAUCCCAUCAAUUUAUCGGUCUCGAUCUUAGAUUGGUUGGAUCAUACAAAUGAUAGUGCAAUAGUGAGGCUAAAGUAAGCAUCAAUCAUUGAACCCCCACCACAAGGCCAAGCGAAAAGCAUAUUAGGGUUCCUAUGAUUUGAUGAAGAUGGAAAAAAUGGUUUAUUCUCACAAUCGAGCCCUAAAUCAAUAUGGAAUCAAGCUUAUUUUUUUACUUUGUCAUUUGCAGUUCCAUCUCUCUUCAACUCUCACAUAACAAUGUCGAUCAUUAAGGUUUAAAUCACCUCCCUCCUAGAUUACAACAAGGAUCAAACAAGAAUCAAGCAAGGCAAAAGUUGAUUCAAAAGCCAUUUACUCACUAAAGUUAUGUUUCAUUUCAUAUUCUAAUCUAUAUGUUAUGUAUACAUUUGUUUUGUGUAUUAGUUCUAUUUUUAUUAGAUUCUCAGAUUUUGUAGGUUCUUCAACCUUUAUGAUUGAUGGUGAAGUUUUUUUUUUCAAGUUAUGUCGAGUCUUAUAUAGCUUGCUUCAAUCUUUUCCUCUAAAAAAUGUGAAAUCUGCAAGUUCAUUGAAUAUUAGUUCCAUCUCCAUCAUCAUUUCACAAAAACAAAUCCAAUGGGCUAUUUAAUUUCAGUGUUCAAUGGAAUAGAAUGGGUUAUUCCAUUGAAAUGAAAAAAACAUCUAUUUUUGAGUUUGUUUUCUUCUUUAGGGUAUGUGAUUUGGGUUUUGUUCUCAUAUUAUGUGGUUUGGGUGUUAACUUUCAUAUGGGUAUCAAAAUUACUGUUUAGUUUUGAUUUUAUAAUUGUUUAAGGUUAAUACAAUUAAAUGGGCUAUCUAAGGACAAAGCGAGUUUACUAAAGUAAGCUUUUACAUAAGCUCUCUCUCUCUCUCUCUCUCUCUCUCUCUCUACUACCUGAUGCAUUAUCUAAGGCCAAAGCAACUUUACUAAAGUGUAAGGAGCUUGUAGUAAAGAUAAAGGAAGAUCCCCUUUCUAAGCCUAAAAUCUACCAUCUAUUGGAAGCAUAAAAAGCUGGUGAAGUUUUUUGUUUGUUUUGUGUAUUAGUUCUGUUUUUAUUAGAUUCUCAGAUUUUGUAGGUUCUUCAAACUUUAUGAUUGAUGGUGAAGUUUUUUGUUUUUUUUCAAGUUAUGUUGAGUCUUAUAUAGCUUGCUUCAAUCUUUUCCUCUAAAAAAAUGUGAAAUCUGCAAGUUCAUUGAAUAUUAGUUUCAUCUCCAUCAUCAUUUCACAAAAACAAAUCCAAUGGGUUAUUUAUUUUCAGUGUUCAGUGGAAUAGAAUGGGUUAUUCCAUUGAAAUGAAAAAAAAACAUUUGUUUUUGAGUUUGUUUUCUUCUUUAGGGUAUGUGAUUUGGGUUUUGUUCUCAUAUUAUGUGGUUUGGGUGUUAACUUUCAUAUGGGUAUCAAAAUUACUGUUUAGUUUUGAUUUUAUAAUUGUUUAAGGUUAAUACAAUUAAAUGGGCUAUCUAAGGACAAAGCGAGUUUACUAAAGUAAGCUUUUACAUAAGCUCUCUCUCUCUCUCUCUCUCUCUCUCUCUCUCUCCCUCCCUCCUGAUGCAUUAUCUAAGGCCAAAGCAACUUUACUAAAGUGUAAGGAGCUUGCAGGAAAAGAUAAAAGAAGAUCCCCUUUCUAAGCCUAAAAUCUACCAUCUAUUGGAAGCAUAAAAAGCUGGUAAAAGGAGUUCAGAAGUCUUGAACUACGGUUACUAAUUUCUCACAGUUUGUGUUUUUUGUUUUUCUGCAACAUUUUUAGAAGUUGUCAUUGCACAUUCAAGGUAAGCAACAAUUUCUAGAGAUUAUUUGGUUAUUGUGGCUGUAGAGAUGACUGAGGGACAUGAUUCAUGGUUAAACUCAUAAACAUCUUCCCAUCAAUGUUAAUUUCAUCUUGAUUUCUCAUGUAUUUGUGUUUUAUAUAUCAUAUAGAGAUUACUUUGGUUUAUUAUUUUAGGUUGCAUAAAUAAAUGAUUAUGUUGUUUUGUCGUUGUU
Lactuca sativa (garden lettuce) is the source of this 2238-nucleotide long non-coding RNA. RefSeq lists it as uncharacterized. The record is from RefSeq and is a predicted model, not a curated record. NCBI's taxonomy places the organism in Eukaryota, Viridiplantae, Streptophyta, Magnoliopsida, Asterales, Asteraceae.